AACUGAAGCAGAGGCCACAGAGGAGUGCUUGAGGGCUGGCUUCCCCGUCCAGGUCCACCUGCUUAUGAGUUGUAAGUCAGUGCCCUGCACACAUCCUCACAGGUCAUUACGACGGAUGACAUUUCUCAGUGGAGAUUCUCUCUUCCAGAUGCCUCGUGGUUAGAGGACGUAUUCUGAUUGGUUCCUGAGGAAGGCAGAAGAGGAGAUGUGUAUGGCAGACAAUCAUCCCUUGCCCUGUGUUGUUAUGGAUCAUCUCAACUGGUUCCAUCAGACAUCUACAUCCUACAGUGCUACCGUCAUAGCUGAAAACUCCACCUGGGGACAGAAGGCGUGUUCAGAGGUGCAGCUGGCAUACCUCAGGGCCACGUACUGUGGUCAGGAUCAGUAUAAUUUCUAAAAUACCUGAAUCUUUUGAAAAAAUGUGAAAAGCAGACAAAUAAUCACCUGAUUAUAUGACGUGAACUGGGGAGAGUGGAACACGGUUUGGAUAUCACAGAAAGAAUGUAACUCAGUUUAUUCCAAAGAAAAUAGUAAAAGCUUAACAAUUACAAUGAAUUCCAAAUACAUUGUAAUCCAAAUUACAAUGAAUACCCAUGAUUUGGUCAGAGCAAUGUCAUUGACCUUGAGAUUUCAAGGUCUUCUGAACCCUCCUUUGACUUCUUUGUUGCUGGCCAUGGUUCCUGCAUG
Long non-coding RNA from Meriones unguiculatus (Mongolian gerbil), 687 nucleotides. RefSeq lists it as uncharacterized. The transcript is spliced from 4 exons. The record is from RefSeq and is a predicted model, not a curated record. Lineage: Eukaryota; Metazoa; Chordata; Mammalia; Rodentia; Muridae.